AGAGUUUGAUCCUGGCUCAGAACGAACGCUGGCGGCAUGCUUAACACAUGCAAGUCGAACGAAGAAGUUAGCUUCGGUUAACUUCUUAGUGGCAAACGGGUGAGUAACGCGUGGGAAUCUGCCUAGUAGUGGGGAAUAACUAUGGGAAACUAUAGCUAAUACCGCAUAAGCCCUGAGGGGGAAAGGCUUCGGCCGCUAUU
This 200-nucleotide ribosomal RNA is filed under the name uncultured bacterium. Its description in RNAcentral is "partial 16S ribosomal RNA". It matches the Rfam family "Bacterial small subunit ribosomal RNA", at positions 8 to 222 of the family's 1533-position model. The record is from RNAcentral.